GUAUUGAUUGCGUGUGACCGCAAAGAUAACAUUCUACACUGUAUCAAGUUUUGUGUGAAAACGUGAGCUCCUUUUGCAAAAGAAGACCCACGCGGUGAUGCACAAGGGGGGUGAGAUGGAUGUGUGAGAGUGCUUGAGCGUGCACAACCUUUUGAAAGGUCAGCGACAGCCCUUACACCUCGGUUGUACGAUAAUGAUCCUUCCGCAGGUUCACCUACGGAAA
RNAcentral lists this unclassified non-coding RNA (223 nucleotides) under uncultured fungus. RNAcentral's name for it is "sequence contains ITS1". The record is from RNAcentral. Lineage: Eukaryota; Fungi.